AUGGGUAAAGGUUUUCAAUUUGGAAUUGAAAUUCAGGCAGUUUCAAAAAGAGCCAAGGAGGAAGUAUAAUUGCCUCUCAAACGAAAAAUUGGGGAAACAAUCAAUUGCCACGUGUCGUGUCAGCCACAUGGAUAAGAAGAUGACAUGUGGCCUAAGAUUGUUUUGCUUUAUUAGAAGUAGUAGAUUGGUUUUGAAUUAAUUAUUGUCGCCAAUAGUGUUAUGUGUAAUGAGCAAUCUUUUUUGUUCCACUCCGAUGAUUCCGCCAUUGGUUGGGGUGUGACAAUUUUCUCAUCUUGAAUUUAAUCUGCCUGAAAAUCAAUUUUCUAGCCUGGAUUCCAACGAUCAGACUAAUUCCAAGGGCAUUCUGUAUCAAGACAGUGAUGACUUGCAAUAUAUACCUGGUGUGACCCCAAUAGAAGUAAGCAACCAUUUAUAUUCACUUCUUAGUUUAAUUGAAAUUAGUUUUCCGUGGGUCGUUGAUUUAUAUUCACUUCUUAGUUUAAUUGAAAUUAGUGAAUAUAAUGUUUCUACAAAUAUGAAGUCAAAGUUGCUAGAUACCUCAGCUAACAUCAACACCUGCAUCCUACAUUUACGUUAACCCAAACAUUGAAGUAGCAAUAUCUAUUAUUGUUAGGUAAAACUUCCUUCGCCUUUGUAUUUUACUUGAUUAAUAUUCUGUUUCUACAUUUACUAUCAUUACAAAACUGAACAACAUAUUCAUGGGGAAAGUAGCAGCUUUAUGACAAACAACAAAUAUAACAGAUCUAGCAACAUCCAUAGAUAAAGUGAAACAAAUAAUAACAGAUCUAGCAACAUCCAUAGAUAAAGUGAAACAAAUAAUAACUUAUUCUUAUCUUUUUCAUCCACUUACAUCUAUAGGUGUUGACAUGUAUAAGAUUCAAGCUUAUAAGCACUCAAAUGUGUUGUUAGUGAACAUUAGGUAUUCAAUUUUUGGCUAAAGCAAUUCAUGUUUUGAAUAAGUGAAUUCAACAAAAAAAGGUGGUAAAUCUUCCAUAACAAGGAACCUAUAUGUGGCUUUAUCUUUAGCAACUUACACUCCAUAGCGAAAAGAUCCAUGUGACUGAACAAAUGUGUACACCAAGCAACAAUUUAAAUUCUUUGCUUACUUUGUACAUGUUGUUUCUUGCAUAAUGAUAUACUGUUUGCUUAUAUGACAUUAGUCAAACUAACUUGGAGGAUAAUGUUUGUGCGUUUUUGUAUAAACAUUUGGCAUGUGCCAGAUCUCAUUGUUUUUUUUUUUCAUUCGUACUAGCUAAUUCAUCAAUUUAGCAAUUCAUUUAUCAAUUUGAUGCAGAUGUUAUAACUUUUGAAUGUGUGAUGAAUAGAUAUGGGAUAGAGACUCAACAGGGUAGAUUCUAAAGUUUACAAGUUACAUAUCAUUUGUCAUGUGAUUAUCUACAUCCUAUGGUUGAGGAGGCUAUAAUUCAUUGAUGUCUACUUUUCUUUUGCGUACAAAGGCAUGCAUUUUCUGUACUUAAUCUUAGCAUUGCUAUAAAUAAAGUUUUGGUUUGUACAUAUACAAAUUUACUGCCGCAUCAGACAGAACUUUGUGUUGGUAAUGUCAUAUGGUCGCCGCCGCAGCAUCGCGUGGCGGGUCAAACCACUAGUAUGUAAAUAAAAAAGCAUCUUAUAUCAUCGGAUUUGAGGUUAACUUUGCACCCCCUUUUUAUUUAUAAGCUUAUAUUUAAUUAUUUUAAUUAAAACAUAUCUUGAGUUUAAACCUAUAAAGAACUCGUAAUAUGUUAAAUAGUCUUCCACUUUUAACGGUUAUUAGACAGAGCAACUUUUAUAGAAAAACUGAUCUUACAAAUCAAGGUGUUGCAGUUCAAUCAUUCAUCAUCAUUCAACUAAUAACCUUUGUGUUAUCUAACUGAGAUAUAGGAUCACUGUUUUAGGCACUGGGGAAGACAUUGGGGUGCUUGUAGUCCUUAUAUAUAGUUGAACUUGUUUACGAAUUUUCUCGAUAUAAUGAGAUUGUGAACUUUUUUAGAUGAUACGAACAACUCAUUAACGUGUUCUUGGUUUGUACCAAAGAUCAACAUAUUAUCUACGUA
RNAcentral lists this long non-coding RNA (2075 nucleotides) under Helianthus annuus (common sunflower). RNAcentral's name for it is "hypothetical non coding rna". The record is from RNAcentral. Lineage: Eukaryota; Viridiplantae; Streptophyta; Magnoliopsida; Asterales; Asteraceae.